AUUGAACGCUGGCGGCAGGCCUAACACAUGCAAGUCGAGCGGAUGAAGGGAGCUUGCUCCUGGAUUCAGCGGCGGACGGGUGAGUAAUGCCUAGGAAUCUGCCUGGUAGUGGGGGAUAACGUCCGGAAACGGGCGCUAAUACCGCAUACGUCCUGAGGGAGAAAGUGGGGGAGCUUCGGACCUCACGCUAUCAGAUGAGCCUAGGUCGGAUUAGCUAGUUGGUGGGGUAAAGGCCUACCAAGGCGACGAUCCGUAACUGGUCUGAGAGGAUGAGCAGUCACACUGGAGCUGAGCCGCGGUCCAGGCUCCUACGGGAGGCAGCAGUGGGGAAUAUUGGGCAAUGGGCGAAAGCCUUAUCCAGCCAUGCCGCGUGUGUGAAGAAGGUCUUCGGAUUGUAAAGCACUUUAAGUUGGGGGGAAGGGCAGUAGGUUAAUACCAUGCUGUUUUGACGUUACCAACAGAAUAAGCACCGGCUAACUUCGUG
Molecule: ribosomal RNA, 484 nt
Filed under: uncultured bacterium
Lineage: Bacteria
Description: partial 16S ribosomal RNA
Rfam family: Bacterial small subunit ribosomal RNA
Source: RNAcentral